Molecule: ribosomal RNA, 253 nt
Filed under: uncultured bacterium
Lineage: Bacteria
Description: partial 16S ribosomal RNA
Rfam family: Bacterial small subunit ribosomal RNA
Source: RNAcentral
GACGUAGGGAGCGAGCGUUGUCCGGAUUCAUUGGGCGUAAAGAGCGCGUAGGCGGCCGUGCAAGUCGGUUGUGAAAUCCCGGGGCUCAACCCCGGGACUGCGUCCGAUACUGCACGGCUCGAGGCAGGUAGGGGAGAGUGGAAUUCCCGGUGUAGCGGUGAAAUGCGCAGAUAUCGGGAGGAACACCGGUGGCGAAGGCGGGUCUCUGGGCCGAUAUUGACGCUGAGGAGCGAAAGCGUGGGGAGCGAACAGG